This 322-nucleotide long non-coding RNA is filed under the name Lathyrus oleraceus (garden pea). RNAcentral's name for it is "Pisum sativum (pea) long non-coding RNA (PSAT_LNC004779)". The record is from RNAcentral. Lineage: Eukaryota; Viridiplantae; Streptophyta; Magnoliopsida; Fabales; Fabaceae.
ACGAGGCUUGACCUUCUCGUCAAAUGCUUUCUUUACUCUCUGCUGAUAUAACUGACCAUGACACCUGGCAGUUAAUCGCUUCUUUUCGGUCGAAUUCAGCAUCAGUCAACUUGGGACUUUGAGGGUGCUAUUUCUCUUUUGUUUCUUUCUUUCUUUUUCUUUCUUUUGAUUUCUUUUGAUUUUGCACCCUCCUCUUUUUUUCGUUUUGUUUUUUUUCUUUUUGUUUUUUUUUUGUUUUUAAUGCCCUAGUUGGCUGUUCUGCUGAUUCUCAAGAUACAGCUGAGUGAUCCUCUUUUCUUGCUCAAGAAAUCGGGAAAUCUCG